UGCAGAUCGAGCAUUAUUUUUUUUAGCACAUGUUCUGCAUGGCUCGCUAGUUGCUUGGCAUGGUGCUGGUAGCUGGCUGAUGUAGCAGUGCUUCUGGAGGAGGGCCUCUGAUGCAGUUUUUCCUAGAUGGACACGCACUGUUGGAACUGAGGCACCCUGCUGUCAGGAAGCCCAGGCCACAUGAGGCCACCCACAGGUGUUCCAGCUGACAGCCCAAGAUUAAGAUCUUAGCAUCAGCCAUCAGGCAUCCAAGUGAGCCAGACUUCUGAGGAUUCCAGCCGCUGCCUUUGGGUCUUCCAUCUGAGGCCCCAGACAUCAGAGGUACCAGUGACAAAUCAUCGUCACCGUGUUCUGUCUGCAUUCCUGACCCAUACAACCAUGAGCACAGUAAGUGCCUGCAGGAGGAGGAUCCAGCAGCCCAGGGGCCGUCUUCCCAAGAGCUAUGCAUGAGGCGCCAACCACACCUGCUCCACAGUCUCUGCUCCUGGUGGCCAGUGAGCGAAGCCAGUGUGCGUGGUCAUCACAGGACAGGGGAAGCAGGGUCACCAUCACCAGCAGCAUGAGCCGGCUGAGAAGUGCACCAGGCCCUUCAACUUUUUGGCAGAACAGGUGGGUAAUAAAGUCCCUCGGGGGCUAUGGGCUGUGACACAUGGUAGGGAAAGCCCCUUGUCGGCUGGGGAUGGGUCCAGGCACAAAUUCUGGCAGUGGCACAAAGGCACCACUGGUCUCAUAGUUCUACCUAAGCCAUACAGAUCCCCCUUACCUUUCCUAGUUUGUCAUUUAUGACUUGGAGUGCAUUCUGCACUGUGGCCCUCAUCAAAUCCUAUGUCAGCUGGGUGUAUGCAAGGCUACCAGAGCAAACCUGGUGUGUGUGUGUUGGCGGGGAGGGGUGGAGAGAGGGUGGCAAGCUGUUGGGGCCUUGCCCACAACUGGCUUCUUGGACCAGUAGGUGGAGUGGGGCCCAAACUGGGGAAGAAGGGACCAGAAGAGUUAGGCGUGAGCCCUAGGUCACUGCCUCAUGUUGUGGUGAGGGUGAGGCCAGCUGGGGGCCCCGCUGGCUGUGCCCAGGA
Molecule: long non-coding RNA, 1070 nt
Organism: Mustela erminea (ermine)
Lineage: Eukaryota; Metazoa; Chordata; Mammalia; Carnivora; Mustelidae
Exons: 3
Source: RefSeq, a predicted model, not a curated record